Molecule: ribosomal RNA, 1493 nt
Filed under: Escherichia coli
Lineage: Bacteria; Pseudomonadati; Pseudomonadota; Gammaproteobacteria; Enterobacterales; Enterobacteriaceae
Description: partial 23S ribosomal RNA
Rfam family: Bacterial large subunit ribosomal RNA
Source: RNAcentral
GGGUUGUGAGGUUAAGCGACUAAGCGUACACGGUGGAUGCCCUGGCAGUCAGAGGCGAUGAAGGACGUGCUAAUCUGCGAUAAGCGUCGGUAAGGUGAUAUGAACCGUUAUAACCGGCGAUUUCCGAAUGGGGAAACCCAGUGUGUUUCGACACACUAUCAUUAACUGAAUCCAUAGGUUAAUGAGGCGAACCGGGGGAACUGAAACAUCUAAGUACCCCGAGGAAAAGAAAUCAACCGAGAUUCCCCCAGUAGCGGCGAGCGAACGGGGAGGAGCCCAGAGCCUGAAUCAGUGUGUGUGUUAGUGGAAGCGUCUGGAAAGGCGCGCGAUACAGGGUGACAGCCCCGUACACAAAAAUGCACAUGCUGUGAGCUCGAUGAGUAGGGCGGGACACGUGGUAUCCUGUCUGAAUAUGGGGGGACCAUCCUCCAAGGCUAAAUACUCCUGACUGACCGAUAGUGAACCAGUACCGUGAGGGAAAGGCGAAAAGAACCCCGGCGAGGGGAGUGAAAAAGAACCUGAAACCGUGUACGUACAAGCAGUGGGAGCACGCUUAGGCGUGUGACUGCGUACCUUUUGUAUAAUGGGUCAGCGACUUAUAUUCUGUAGCAAGGUUAACCGAAUAGGGGAGCCGAAGGGAAACCGAGUCUUAACUGGGCGUUAAGUUGCAGGGUAUAGACCCGAAACCCGGUGAUCUAGCCAUGGGCAGGUUGAAGGUUGGGUAACACUAACUGGAGGACCGAACCGACUAAUGUUGAAAAAUUAGCGGAUGACUUGUGGCUGGGGGUGAAAGGCCAAUCAAACCGGGAGAUAGCUGGUUCUCCCCGAAAGCUAUUUAGGUAGCGCCUCGUGAAUUCAUCUCCGGGGGUAGAGCACUGUUUCGGCAAGGGGGUCAUCCCGACUUACCAACCCGAUGCAAACUGCGAAUACCGGAGAAUGUUAUCACGGGAGACACACGGCGGGUGCUAACGUCCGUCGUGAAGAGGGAAACAACCCAGACCGCCAGCUAAGGUCCCAAAGUCAUGGUUAAGUGGGAAACGAUGUGGGAAGGCCCAGACAGCCAGGAUGUUGGCUUAGAAGCAGCCAUCAUUUAAAGAAAGCGUAAUAGCUCACUGGUCGAGUCGGCCUGCGCGGAAGAUGUAACGGGGCUAAACCAUGCACCGAAGCUGCGGCAGCGACGCUGAUGCGUUGUUGGGUAGGGGAGCGUUCUGUAAGCCUGUGAAGGUGUGCUGUGAGGCAUGCUGGAGGUAUCAGAAGUGCGAAUGCUGACAUAAGUAACGAUAAAGCGGGUGAAAAGCCCGCUCGCCGGAAGACCAAGGGUUCCUGUCCAACGUUAAUCGGGGCAGGGUGAGUCGACCCCUAAGGCGAGGCCGAAAGGCGUAGUCGAUGGGAAACAGGUUAAUAUUCCUGUACUUGGUGUUACUGCGAAGGGGGGACGGAGAAGGCUAUGUUGGCCGGGCGACGGUUGUCCCGGUUUAAGCGUGUAGGCUGGU